GACGAACGCUGGCGGCGUGCUUAACACAUGCAAGUCGAACGGAAAGGCCCUGCUUUUGUGGGGUGCUCGAGUGGCGAACGGGUGAGUAACACGUGAGUAACCUGCCCUUGACUUUGGGAUAACUUCAGGAAACUGGGGCUAAUACCGGAUAGGAGCUCCUGCUGCAUGGUGGGGGUUGGAAAGUUUCGGCGGUUGGGGAUGGACUCGCGGCUUAUCAGCUUGUUGGUGGGGUAGUGGCUUACCAAGGCUUUGACGGGUAGCCGGCCUGAGAGGGUGACCGGCCACAUUGGGACUGAGAUACGGCCCAGACUCCUACGGGAGGCAGCAGUGGGGAAUAUUGCACAAUGGGCGGAAGCCUGAUGCACCAACGCCGCGUGCGGGAUGACGGCCUUCGGGUUGUAAACCGCUUUCGCCUGCGACGAAGCGUGAGUGACGGUAAUGGGUAAAGAAGCACCGGCUAACUACGUG
Molecule: ribosomal RNA, 468 nt
Filed under: uncultured bacterium
Lineage: Bacteria
Description: partial 16S ribosomal RNA
Rfam family: Bacterial small subunit ribosomal RNA
Source: RNAcentral